AUGAAGCGGCCCUGGCAAGGACAAGUGGAGCCCCAGCUUCUGAAGACGGUCCCCCGCCAUGACCCACUCAACCCUCUGUGUCCCGGGGCCACACGAGCUAAUGGGGAGGUAAGCCCGAAUACACAGCCACCAAGUGGAAUAGGAGGAAAUAGUUUUUCCUUAUUACUGCUCUUCGCCCACAAGAGGGAGCAGUGCACCCCCUUUUGAGUCAGUUCCCAGCAAGCAAUUUUGAUCCUUAGAAAGGGCCUUUCGCGCCCCCCCCCCCCCCGCAGCCUGUGUACCCCUUGAAUUGGGUCAGAUGGUUGUAUUUCUAGCCUAUUCUUGUCAGUAGGUGAAUCCCCCCUAUGAUGGCACCUUCUUAUUUGACAAUGACUUCCCGGCUCUGCAGCCCGAUGCUCCGGAUCCAGGACCCAGUGACCACCCUCUCUUCCGAGUGGAGGCCGCCAGAGGAGUUUGGUAACUAUGGGUUUCCCCGCUUAUAACCUCCAGCCAGGGCUGAAGACUAAGACCUGGGCUUGGGCCCUGCCCUUAGCACCCAACCCCUAUCCCUUUGUCAUUCUUCCCUCACCACCUAGUAAGGUCAUGUGCUUCCACCCCUGGUCGGAUGUGACGCUGCCACUCAUGUCUGUCCCUGAGAUCCGAGCUGUCAUCGAUGCAUGGGCCUCAGUCACAGAGGAACUGGGCGCCCAGUACCCUUGGGUGCAGGUCUGUGAGGGGGAGGUGUAACUUUGGUCUGGGGGAGUAGCAGUAUUGCUUCCACAGGGUAUGGCGAGGA
Molecule: long non-coding RNA, 775 nt
Filed under: Rattus norvegicus (Norway rat)
Lineage: Eukaryota; Metazoa; Chordata; Mammalia; Rodentia; Muridae
Description: long non-coding RNA NONRATT022197
Source: RNAcentral